UACGGAGGGGGCGAGCGUUAUUCGGAAUUAUUGGGCGUAAAGGGCGCGUAGGCGGCCCGGUAAGUCAAAGGUGAAAUCCCUCGGCUCAACUGAGGAACUGCCUUUGAAACUGUCGGGCUUGAGGCCGGGAGAGGGUAGUGGAAUUCCCAGUGUAGCGGUGAAAUGCGUAGAUAUCAGAAGGAACAUCAGUGGCGAAGGCGGCUUCCUGGACCAAUACUGACGAUCAGGUGCGAAAGCGUGGGGAGCAAACAGG
This 253-nucleotide ribosomal RNA is filed under the name uncultured bacterium. RNAcentral describes it as "partial 16S ribosomal RNA". It matches the Rfam family "Bacterial small subunit ribosomal RNA", at positions 524 to 776 of the family's 1533-position model. The record is from RNAcentral.